Molecule: ribosomal RNA, 253 nt
Filed under: uncultured bacterium
Lineage: Bacteria
Description: partial 16S ribosomal RNA
Rfam family: Bacterial small subunit ribosomal RNA
Source: RNAcentral
UACGUAGGGGGCUAGCGUUGUCCGGAAUCAUUGGGCGUAAAGCGCGCGUAGGCGGCCAGAUAAGUCCGGUGUGAAAGUCAAAGGCUCAACCUUUGAAUGCCGCUGGAAACUGUCUGGCUUGAGUCCGGAAGGGGCGAGUGGAAUUCCUGGUGUAGCGGUGAAAUGCGUAGAUAUCUGGAGGAACACCGGUGGCGAAGGCGGCAUCCUGGACCGAGAUUGACGCUGAGGCGCGAAAGCUAGGGGAGCAAACGGG